UGUUAAAGGUUUUUAAAAGAUUUUCGAAAGG
Molecule: non-coding RNA, 31 nt
Filed under: Rattus norvegicus (Norway rat)
Lineage: Eukaryota; Metazoa; Chordata; Mammalia; Rodentia; Muridae
Source: RNAcentral